GUGCUCACUUUGGCAGCACAUACACUAGAAUUGGAAUGACACAGAGAAGAUGAGCACGGCCUCUUUGGAAGGAUGACAUGCAAAUUUGUGAAGUGUUACGUAUUUUU
This is a small nuclear RNA of Perognathus longimembris pacificus (Pacific pocket mouse), 107 nucleotides long. NCBI's taxonomy places the organism in Eukaryota, Metazoa, Chordata, Mammalia, Rodentia, Heteromyidae. The record is from RefSeq and is a predicted model, not a curated record.